CGCUCCUUGAAAAAUAUUUUUUAUAUAAGGAGUCCUGCCUGCCCAGUGACAACGUUAAACGGCCGCGGUAUCUUGACCGUGCAAAGGUAGCAUAAUCAUUUGCCUUUUAAAUGGAGGCUGGAAUGAAUGGCAAGACGUAGUUUAAGCUGUCUCUUUUUUGUACCUUGAAGUUUUCAUCCUUGUGAAGAGUCGGGGAUAUUUUCGUAGGACGAGAAGACCCUAUUGAGCUUUAGUAUAGAAUAGGUUUAGUCGAUAUAAAAUUUUUUAGGCUAAUAAAGUUUAUAAAAUAGGACAUAUUUACCUUAUGAAUGGUGUCGUUUUAAGUCUGAUACUUUAAUUGGGGCAAUUGCGGAGAAGAAGUAGCCUCCGUUUAUAGUAUAAAUAUAAAAAGUUAUUUCUUUAUAGUGUAUAAAUUAUGAUAAGUGAUCCACUGUUUUGCAGUGAGCAAAGGAACAAGUUACCAUAGGGAUAACAGCGUAAUUUUUUUGGAGAGUUCAUAUUGAUAAAAAAGUUUGCGACCUCGAUGUUGGAUCGGGACAUCCAGGAAAUGCAGAAGUUUCCAAGGGUUGGUCUGUUCGACCAUUAAAGUCCUACG
RNAcentral lists this ribosomal RNA (595 nucleotides) under Caymanostella sp. FMNH 5167. RNAcentral describes it as "partial 16S ribosomal RNA". It matches the Rfam family "Bacterial large subunit ribosomal RNA", at positions 1816 to 2600 of the family's 2925-position model. Lineage: Eukaryota; Metazoa; Echinodermata; Asteroidea; Velatida; Caymanostellidae. The record is from RNAcentral.